This 77-nucleotide transfer RNA is filed under the name Candidatus Saccharimonadota bacterium. RNAcentral describes it as "tRNA-Arg". It matches the Rfam family "tRNA". From Rfam's summary of the family: Transfer RNA (tRNA) molecules are approximately 80 nucleotides in length. Their secondary structure includes four short double-helical elements and three loops (D, anti-codon, and T loops). Lineage: Bacteria; Candidatus Saccharimonadota. The record is from RNAcentral.
GCCCCGAUAGCUCAGCUGGAUAGAGCAAGUGGGUUCUAACCAUUAGGUCGGGGGUUCGAAUCCCUCUCGGGGUACCA